Molecule: transfer-messenger RNA, 268 nt
Filed under: Minisyncoccia
Lineage: Bacteria; Bacillati; Minisyncoccota
Description: UBA5004 sp001825475 X2 Standard tmRNA
Rfam family: transfer-messenger RNA
About the family: Bacterial tmRNA, also known as 10Sa RNA or SsrA, is named for its dual tRNA and mRNA-like properties. Its role is to liberate the mRNA from a stalled ribosome.
Source: RNAcentral
GGGGGUGUCAGUUUCGACACAAGAAAUGUGUUGUUCGUGGCACGCAGAGUUCUUGCUACUCUCUAAACUUGCAAGAAAAUUUAAGUGCAGACUCAAUUGUCGCACGGGCAAAGUCAAUUGCUCAUGUCGGAGCCAAACUUAGAGCUUUGAUCUUCGGAUGUUUUGUCUGAUUUUUAGUCCGAGGGUCGAGAACCAAAAUCAGUCUAGGCAUGCUAGAUUUGUUCAACACCUCCUUAUGGACGCGGGCUCAUUCCCGCCACCUCCACCA